This 328-nucleotide ribosomal RNA is filed under the name uncultured Lachnospiraceae bacterium. Its description in RNAcentral is "partial 16S ribosomal RNA". The record is from RNAcentral. Lineage: Bacteria; Bacillati; Bacillota; Clostridia; Lachnospirales; Lachnospiraceae.
GGAGUCUGGGCCGUGUCUCAGUCCCAAUGUGGCCGUUCAUCCUCUCAGAUCGGCUACUGAUCGUCGCCUUGGUGGGCCGUUACCUCACCAACUAGCUAAUCAGACGCGGGUCCAUCUCGUACCACCGGAGUUUUUCACACUGUACCAUGCGAUACUGUGCGCUUAUGCGGUAUUAGCAGCCGUUUCCAACUGUUGUCCCCCGGUAUGGGGCAGGUUCCCACGCGUUACUCACCCGUCCGCCACUAAGUCAUAAAAUCUUCAAUCCGAAGAAAUCUGAUUAAAUGCUUCGUUCGACUUGCAUGUGUUAAGCACGCCGCCAGCGUUCAUC